UUAGCACCAAAAAGAAAGAAAGAAAAAGAAAAGUAUUAGAUAAUAUUCUCUAUAACUCAUUUAGAGUCGGUAAAAUCUGCAUCGAUCACAUCCCCAUCGGGUCCCUUGCCUGAUGAUGGUGAUUCUGAGGAGCCAGACUCAGGGCCAGGUGGUGUAGGCCCUCCUGGACCUGUAGCUGCUCCUGGCUGGUUGUAGAGGGACUGACCAAUCUGCAUAACUUCCUGAUUCAGGGCAGCCAUGGCAUCUUUAAUAUCUUGGGUUGAACCACCGGAAAUUGCAUCUUUAAGCUCUCCCAGUUUGGCUUCAACCUUCUCUUUCACAGGGCCAGGAACCUUGUCUCCAAGUUCCUUCAACUGUUUCUCAGUCUGGUACACAACAGAGUCUGCUUGGUUCUUUGUGUCGAUUGCAUCCCUCCUUUCUUUGUCCUCCUUUGCAAAUCUCUCAGCCUCCUUCACCAUCCUGUCCACC
This 468-nucleotide long non-coding RNA is filed under the name Lotus japonicus. Its description in RNAcentral is "long non-coding RNA (LJAP_LNC002266)". The record is from RNAcentral. Lineage: Eukaryota; Viridiplantae; Streptophyta; Magnoliopsida; Fabales; Fabaceae.